CUGCAGCUGCUGUUAGCUACAUGUGUUCCCCAAUGCUUGUCUCCUCUGCCUGCUUCAGGACUUUUCAAUCACUGGCAGUAGCAACAUCCAACCUCGGUCAGAUGAUGUCACUGGAACCGGGAAGAAUUAGUGACAGAUGCGUCAGCUGAGGGGGACUGAGGCCAGGAAGAAGCUUCAGUCCGAAGCGAUACGGUCGUUGCACUCCACAGCCCUGCGUUCCUGCUGACAGACCCCCCUGAACCUGCUGUUAUUUUAAGCUGCAAGCGCUGAAUAAAGAAGAAUAUUUUGCUACCUGGAAAUCCACGCUAGGGGUCCCCAUAAAAUCCAAAACAUAAUACUGUCCGGCUGAGACACAGGCAUGGGCAAAGUCCAGGAAGUAAGGGCAGGAUUAGCACUCCACAUGCAUGCUCACUCCUGUCCUAUCAGACUGCAACAUGAAAACAGAGAGGAGGGGUUACAGAGCAGCCUGAAGUGAUUGGAUGAAAAGACCCAACACAGUACAGCAGACUCAGGGAGGAAGAUGAGUCAUGCAGAGUGAGGACAUGCCCCCCUCCAAAGCACAGAAUGACAAACCAAGUGAGCAACAGAUAGAAGGUAUU
Molecule: long non-coding RNA, 599 nt
Organism: Hyla sarda
Lineage: Eukaryota; Metazoa; Chordata; Amphibia; Anura; Hylidae
Exons: 3
Source: RefSeq, a predicted model, not a curated record